RNAcentral lists this ribosomal RNA (693 nucleotides) under uncultured Curvibacter sp. RNAcentral describes it as "bacterial SSU rRNA". It matches the Rfam family "Bacterial small subunit ribosomal RNA", at positions 94 to 767 of the family's 1533-position model. The record is from RNAcentral. Lineage: Bacteria; Pseudomonadati; Pseudomonadota; Betaproteobacteria; Burkholderiales; Comamonadaceae.
AGUGGCGAACGGGUGAGUAAAGUAUCGGAACGUGCCCAGUCGGGGGGGAUAACGUAGCGAAAGUUACGCUAAUACCGCAUACGAUCUAUGGAUGAAAGCGGGGGAUCGCAAGACCUCGCGCGAUUGGAGCGGCCGAUAUCAGAUUAGGUAGUUGGGGGGGUAAAGGCUCACCAAGCCGACGAUCUGUAGCUGGUCUGAGAGGACGACCACCCACACUGGGACUGAGACACGGCCCACACUCCUACGGGAGGCAGCAGUGGGGUAUUUUUGGACAAUGGGCGCAAGCCUGAUCCAGCCAUGCCGCGUGCAGGAUGAAGGCCUUCGGGUUGUAAACUUCUUUUGUACGGAACGAAAAGGUUUGGCCUAAUAAGCUGAGCUCAUGACGGUACCGUAAGAAUAAGCACCGGCUAACUACGUGCCAGCAGCCGCGGUAAUACGUAGGGGGGCGAGCGUUAAUCGGAAUUACUGGGCGUAAGCGUGCGCAGGCGGUUAUGUAAGACAGAUGUGAAAUCCCCCGGGCUCAACCUGGGAACUGCAUUAGUGACUGCAUAGCUGGAGUACGGCAGAAGAGGGGGAAGGAAUUCCGGCGUGGUAGCCGUUGAAAUGCGUAAAAUUAUGCCGGAGGACCCCCGAAUGGGCGAAGGCCAUUCCCCUUGGGGCUUGUACUGACGCUCAUGCACGAAAGGCGGUGGG